CGUGUAGGCGGCUUGGCAAGUCGGAUGUGAAAGCCCACGGCUCAACCGUGGAAGCGCAUCCGAAACUGCUUCGCUCGAGUCUCGGAGAGGAAGGUGGAAUGCUUGGUGUAGAGGUGAAAUUCGUAGAUAUCAAGCAGAACACCUGCGGCGAAGGCGGCCUUCUGGACGAUGACUGACGCUGAGACGCGAAAGCGUGGGGAGCAAACAGGAUUAGAUACCCUGGUAGUCCACGCCGUAAACGAUGAGUGCUAGGUGUCACGGGCUUUGACCCUCGUGGUGCCGUAGCUAACGCAAUAAGCACUCCGCCUGGGGAGUACGGCCGCAAGGCUAAA
Molecule: ribosomal RNA, 332 nt
Filed under: uncultured Sorangiineae bacterium
Lineage: Bacteria; Pseudomonadati; Myxococcota; Myxococcia; Myxococcales
Description: bacterial SSU rRNA
Rfam family: Bacterial small subunit ribosomal RNA
Source: RNAcentral